CACAAUAACCUUGAAUUUGGGGGGUUUCAGGACUUCAUUUACAAACAGCCUCUCGCGGGUUUCAGUUUUAAAAUUGUUGCAUUUCAUGACAGAGAAUCAGGUUUUUUUGUUUAUGGGGUCCAUCCCCGCCCCUCUCAUCGGGCUGUCAGGUUAUCAUAACAUGCAUCUGUCCGUUCACAUCAUGAAGCACAACUUGUGGCUUCCCAGCGGUGAACUGGCUGCAGUCCAGCUGCUUCCCCUAUCGGCCACAAGCAAAAGAAGAGCCGGAGGAUGAUAUGGAUGAAGAGGCUCUAUCACUCUGUCAUGUCCCUGUUUCAUGCAUGACAAUAAUACAUCUGAAACUGGGUGAAGAAGUGUUUUGUGCUCAGAGGAGCUUGAUCCUGCAGCAGCAGUGGGUAAGUUGUAUGAGAGCCUGAGGAUGCAGUGAGCUGUGAAUCAGCUCCUCUCUACAUGUUUGUGUUGCUGCAGUCUGAACCCAAAAGGAAAGGAGCAUAUCUCUGACAUACUGCUGUAUGAAUAAUGCAGCUUCUCUGCACAACUGUUACUCUGACUGUGAGGAAGAUUUACAGCAGGUUUAAGAAGAGUUAGAGCCGAGAACGGUCAGGUAUCUGAGCUGCAGCUGUCACAGAAAAGCUUUGGUCUAUGUUAAUUAUGUGCAGGAAAACAUUUACUAUUAAAUGAAGUCAUUAUUUCUUUAUUUUUAUUAAUUUAAUAAUUAUUCCCUUUGACAGCAGGUCAAUACUUUAAUCAGUAAAAUGUCUGAGACUGAAUUCUUGGGCUCUCAUAUCCCAAGGUGAGUAUGUCACCUUGGGAUAUGAGAGCCCAGAGAUGAAUAAUGAAUCAUCACUGAAAGAAAGUUUUUCCCUACACAUACAAUCAUGAAGCCUCUCGAUUUAUACAGUUCAUGUUUUACUAUACUUUAUGCUAUAAAGUAAGUAUGACCCUUGGGUGUUAGGAAUAGCUGGAUGUAGUCACUGCAAUGCUACCUUUGGUUUGUGGGUACAUAGUUUCAACUCUUGAGCCAACAGUGAUCGCAUUUGGGAUAGUGAAAUCAUAAUGGACAGAAGACAGGAGCGGUCCUAAA
Molecule: non-coding RNA, 1084 nt
Organism: Xyrichtys novacula (pearly razorfish)
Lineage: Eukaryota; Metazoa; Chordata; Actinopteri; Labriformes; Labridae
Source: the annotation of a GenBank genome assembly